RNAcentral lists this long non-coding RNA (2171 nucleotides) under Homo sapiens (human). Its description in RNAcentral is "HSALNT0087397". Lineage: Eukaryota; Metazoa; Chordata; Mammalia; Primates; Hominidae. The record is from RNAcentral.
UCUACAUCAAGGAUCUAAAACGUUGGCCCUGGAACAGUGGCCUCCAGGCCUGAGAUAAUCGAAGCAACUGGAGAAGCUUGAAGGAGUCUGGGUCCCUGAUCCUGACAAAGCCGCUAUUCCACCCCUAAACUGGCUACAUCUGGAUUUUUUUUCUUUGGCAUGAGAAAGGAAUAAACGAUCUUACUAAUUUUUAAAGUUAGUGUUAUUUGAGGUUUAGCAGAAGCUAAUCCUCUCAUUUAAUCAUUUUUCUUAUCCAAUCUUCACAAUUUGAGAGGUUUGAAGAUGAAGAAUACGUUUACAGCUAAUUAAGCAGUGGUGGUUGCAAAACAUUGAAGUAGCUGUGGAGAAACAUUAAUGAAGUCAAUUUCAGAGAGGGAAAGAAUGUAGAGAUUGUGUGCCAGGAUUAAAAUAUUUUUAUUUACUGAUAUGUUAUGCUCAUAAUUCUUUUUUUUUUGUUUGUUUUUUGAGACAGAGUUUCCCUCUUGUUGCCCGGGCUGGAGUGCAAUGGCACGAUCUUAGCUCACUGCAACCGCCACCUCCUGGAUUCAAGCGAUUCUCCUGCCUCAGCCUCCUGAGUAGCUGGGAUUACAGGCAUGCGCCACCAUGCCUGGCUAAUUUUGUAUUUUUAGUAGAGACAGGGUUUCUCCAUGUUGAUCAGGCUGCUCUCCAACUCCCGACCUCAGGUGAUCUGCCCGCCUUGGCCUCUCAAAGUGCUGGGAUUACAGGCGUGAGUCAUCGCGCUCAGCCAUUAUGCUUAUAAUUCCUAUUUUGCCUACAGGUCAUAUCUCAUUCAGACAUUUGGCCUUAAAGAUGCAUUGCCUCAAGGGAGUAAGGAUCAAAAAAUAAAUAUCUAUCAUUCUUAGUUUUUAAGUUCCAAAGCUCCAAAUGGAGGUUUCAGGUGUGAAAAUUUCAUUUGACCUCUUCUCCCUGAAAGUGAUCUGAGUCAGAGAAGAGAGUGAAAGGACAAGGGUGUCUGAGAAAAGGCUGGCUAAGUCCCACAUUGAGGAGAGGACACAAGGCAGACAGUAGAAUGCUUCUGAUAAUUUUGUGAUCUUGGGGUCAAUGGAAUUUGUGUUCUGUUUCCUGUCUGUAGCCCUGAGAGUACCCCAGGCCUUUGAGGACUAGACACUAGAAGACGGAUGGUUGAUGCAAAUGUCCAAGACAGAAGUGGGUUUGGCAUACCUACUGGGUUUCCUGGGCCUUCAGAGUUGUAUGGAAGAACUGAAAAAUUUCCUCAUGUUUCCCAGGACAGCUGUGGAAAUGAAGACAGAACGAGCAAGACAGCAAGAGAGAACUGUUGGGCACUGAAAUCUAGAAGUUAUGAAAAGAGGCUACCUCUGGGGACAGUUAUGUAGAUCAAAUUUAGAGAUUAAUCAUGGCUUAGGACCAGAAAGAACUCUAUGUUUCAAUUAUGAAUUAUGACCAAGUAGGCAGAAGCUAUCAGGCAGUGACCAGAUGACCCCCUCAAGUUUUCUGGGUACAAAGAAAGUGUACUUGAAAUGAAAAUUAAGAACUUGUAAAAAUUGUGUAUAUUUAACUUUUGAAUUAAUGGCCUGAAAAAAUUAUACCAUUAUGUGUGAAUAACUAAUAAAGUAGAAGUUUGAAGAUGCAAGCAUGAAAGGCAAAUAACAGAGCACAUUUCAGAGAAAACAGAGAUUAUAAUUUUAUGGAGAGGGAUAUGUAGUCUUGACCAAAAGGGAUACUUCUUUUUCAGAAACAAGAUCAAAAUUAGAUUUUUUAAAUUGAAAGUUUAAAUCAUAUAAACUUUGCCUAUUAAGUAAGGGGGAAAAAAUCCUCAUCUGUUUAUAAUUUUAAAAAAUGGGAUGCUUUUGGGAAGUUUCUUUUUUUCCUAUGGGUUUCACAUUCCUGCAAGUAGCAUCAGGUAGAUGAAUAUUUAGAACCAAUUUCAAGAAGCAAAAAUUAAGUCUUAGAGAACUAUAUUUAAUUUCAAGUACAGUAGUCUUUAGAGUAUUUGGUACAUUAAAGAACGGAAAAUGUUAGUUCCACUUACUACUUAAAUUUUAAUAGAUUUUAUUUUGAUUAUUAUUUUUUGUUUGUUUCUAAGAGUCAGCGUAACCCAAUCAUUUCACUUUUCCUCAGGAUCACCACAAAUAUCACUCUUUUUCUUUUUCAUUUUUUAGAGCUUAAUUGCUUCGUUUUGUCUGUUUUGA